GCAAGUGUAGCUCAAUUGGCAGAGCGUUAGUCUUCCAAACUGAUGGUUGAGGGUUCGAUUCCCUCCACUUGCUCCU
Molecule: transfer RNA, 76 nt
Filed under: Crocinitomicaceae bacterium
Lineage: Bacteria; Pseudomonadati; Bacteroidota; Flavobacteriia; Flavobacteriales; Crocinitomicaceae
Description: tRNA-Gly
Rfam family: tRNA
About the family: Transfer RNA (tRNA) molecules are approximately 80 nucleotides in length. Their secondary structure includes four short double-helical elements and three loops (D, anti-codon, and T loops).
Source: RNAcentral